This 24-nucleotide microRNA is filed under the name Ananas comosus (pineapple). RNAcentral describes it as "microRNA s1275_c028b". The record is from RNAcentral. Lineage: Eukaryota; Viridiplantae; Streptophyta; Magnoliopsida; Poales; Bromeliaceae.
CGGUUUUGGUUCUUAUGAACGUUG